Molecule: ribosomal RNA, 591 nt
Filed under: Promethearchaeota archaeon
Lineage: Archaea; Promethearchaeati; Promethearchaeota
Description: bacterial SSU rRNA
Rfam family: Archaeal small subunit ribosomal RNA
Source: RNAcentral
CAAUUCCGGUUGAUCCUGCCGGACCCGACUGCUAUUUGGGUGAGGAUAAGCCAUGCGAGUUGAAUGGGAUACCUAAACUUCCCAUAGCAAACUGCUUAGUAACACAUGAUCAACUUGCCCUAUGGAGAAAAAUAACCUCGGGAAAGUAUCGCAGUGAAAAUACAGACCACUAUGAUACCCCGAAACUGAGGAUAAUAUUUCAUAGUUGAAAAGGCUUGGAAAAGUUUUUCAAUGAAAGGGAUAAGAUAAAUGGAUCUUAUUUGCCAUAGGAUAGGAUCGUGGUCGAUUAUGGUAGUUGGUGAGAUAACGGCUCACCAAGCCGAUAAUCGAUAGGGGCCGUGAGAGCGGGAGCCCCAAGAUGGGUACUGAGACAGCGACCCAGGCCUUACGAGGCGCAGCAGGCGCGAAACCUCCGCAAUACACGAAAGUGUGACGGGGUUACCCAAAGUGUUCUCUUUAGAACUGUGGUAGGUGAGUAAUGUCCCCUGCUAGAAAGGAGAGGGCAAGGCUGGUGCCAGCCGCCGCGGUAAAACCAGCUCUUCAAGUGGUCGGGAUAAUUAUUGGGCUUAAAGUGUCCGUAGCCGGUUUAGU